AUUAGGUUGGUGACAAAAGUAACUGCAGUUUUUUGACAUUACUUUUAAUGGCAAAGACUGCAAUUACCUUUGCACCUACCUAAU
RNAcentral lists this microRNA precursor (84 nucleotides) under Pan paniscus (pygmy chimpanzee). RNAcentral describes it as "miRNA (ENSPPAG00000008708.1)". The record is from RNAcentral. Lineage: Eukaryota; Metazoa; Chordata; Mammalia; Primates; Hominidae.